UUAUAAGACGAGAAGACCCCAUGGAGCUUUAAACCCAAUUACAUCCUUAUAUUUAAAAUCUUCAUAGCUUUUAAGGUAUUGUAUAUUCGGUUUUAGGUUGGGGUGACCGCGGAGCAUAAAUAAGCCUCCACGAUGAAUGGAAUUAUUUUCCUUAUCUAAGAACUACAUUUCUAAGAAUUAAUAUUUUAACAUAUAAUGAUCCAAUAUUUGAUCAACGAACCAAGUUACCCUGGGGAUAACAGCGCAAUCCACUUCAAGAGCCCCUAUCGA
RNAcentral lists this ribosomal RNA (270 nucleotides) under Blommersia blommersae (Ambrana Madagascar frog). Its description in RNAcentral is "partial 16S ribosomal RNA". Lineage: Eukaryota; Metazoa; Chordata; Amphibia; Anura; Mantellidae. The record is from RNAcentral.